This 207-nucleotide microRNA precursor is filed under the name Oryza brachyantha (malo sina). RNAcentral's name for it is "MIR812 microRNA precursor family". It matches the Rfam family "MIR812 microRNA precursor family". The record is from Rfam by way of RNAcentral. Lineage: Eukaryota; Viridiplantae; Streptophyta; Magnoliopsida; Poales; Poaceae.
CCAAAACGAACCAUUUUUUCACUUUUUACCUAUAAUAUUUGACUAUUCGUCUUAUUUAAGAAAUUUUUACGAUUAACAUUUUUGUUUUAUUAGAUGAUAAAUUAUAAAUAGUACUUAACGUGUGACUAUUUAUUUUUAAUUUUUUAAAAAAUUUUAAAUAAGACGAAUGAUCAACGUUGGACACGAGAACUGAAAAUUUGGUUUAUC